Molecule: long non-coding RNA, 1695 nt
Organism: Oxyura jamaicensis (ruddy duck)
Lineage: Eukaryota; Metazoa; Chordata; Aves; Anseriformes; Anatidae
Exons: 3
Source: RefSeq, a predicted model, not a curated record
CAGCUUUUUGUUAAGCUGAGGUUCCUGAUUCAAUUAGAUUGUCUUUUGCUAGCUUAUGUAACAGAGACAUUACAGCUAGCAAAGAUCCAUUAGAUAGUGUACAUGUAUUUGCUUAUAUUAACCCACAGUACACUUGGUGUAGUCCCUAAAUAUCCCCCCUCCCCCCAUGGUGUUCACACAAGAUAAUUAUUAAUAUAUAUAUAUAUAUUCAAAUGAGAAAAUGAAGAUGCUCUGUGACUUACAUAUUUGAUAAAUUACAUGUAGGUUUUGACUAAAAUCUAGUGUCAGUAUGGCUUCUAGUGCCUAAAAGUAAUAGCUAACAAAGCUCAAAUCUCAAAGCACAUGAAGUGGAACUCAAGUUAUGGGGAUCUGGCCUCAAAACCAUUUAUAAAACUGGUGCUUGUUGUCAUAUUUGGAGCUUCAUUAUUAUAUUCACAGGCUUGUAAGUGAACAUUUGCCUAGAUAACACCUGUUAGAGAAAUGCUGAUUUAAUCCCAUUUAAAUAAUAGGAAGUAAAUGAGCAGGAACAAAGUGAAUAGCAGGAACAAAGUAAGUUCAUAUUAGAAGCUUCUUAGAGAGAAGAGUAUAAUUCUGUUCACUCUUAUGCUUGUGCCCUGAAAAAGAAGUCAUCUCUUAAUUUUUUUUGUAUCUUUCAGUUAUGUUCAAAAGAUGACUCAGGUGAGAAGGAAGCUCAGGAGAGGUCUUCAGUCCAACCUCCUUCUCACAGCAUGGCCAGCUUUGAGGUCAGACCUGUUUGCUCAAGGCCGUCUUGAAAGCUUCCAAGGACGGAGACCUCACAGCCCCUCUGGACAACACUGCUGUGAUGUCCUCAGGGAGAAAAAGGUCCAUAUCAGUCUAGUCAGGCUGAAGAUAGACUUAUAUUUCCUGUGUGCAUAAUUUUCAGGUUUCAUGCAAAAUUCCUUCUAUGGGGUGACAGAAUGGAAGUUGAAGGACAUAUGCCAGAUCCCAGUAUUAAGAAGUUGUUGACUUUUUGAAAUAAAAAGCUUUCUUCUAGCUCUUUUGGGCCAACAUAUAAGGAUUGCAACGCUGUAAUUAGGACAUUACUUCAAAUUUCACCUCAAUUACUUUUUGGUGACAUUUCUUUCUCUCUUGUAUAUUUACAGAAAUGAUAAAACCUUAGUUCAACAAAAAUCUUUUGUUCCCUUCUACACACACCCCAGCUAAGGGAGGGUCAUGCUUGUAAUUUUUACUUCAUGCUUUAAACUCAGAGGUUAAAAUAUGAUGUUUAAAUGGUGACAGAGAAGUCUCAAUGAAGAAAUUGGGGUCUUUGACCUCAAUCUCUGCUGUUUCGGGCAGCGGGGGUGGGGGAUCAUUCUGUGUUUGCUAGCUGAACCACAGUAACCUGCACCUGACAAUUUAACCUAUUGGGUUUUGAGCAUUUUCAGAUCAGAUCAAACGCAUCAAAGUCUGUGUAAAUAAUGCAUUGCAGUAAAUUGUCUCUCAUUUCAAACUAAUACCAGAAAAACAACUACUUAAUUGCAAAAAUAAUACACUAUUAGCAGUGAUAUAAUUUAUACUUUAAUAAUUUAAUCUCCCACCUCCUAGAUAAGUCUCCCUGUAUUUCCAUAUUAGAUUUGGGUUUAGCUUUUGUGUGGUCAUAGGAGACUGGGCAGGGCACUGACUGAUAUCAGAGGAGUAGACAUGCAUAGGACAAGAUGAAAUGAGAAAUGAUUA